UCAAGCCACUGCUAAGUCACCGUUGAUGAAGCUUCAGCCACUGCCACGCCUGGUUGUCACCAGGGUUGCCACCGCCGCAUCUCACCACUAAAGAGAAGCCUUUCCUACGCUGUUGCCGAACCGGGCCAGAUUCACCGAUUAAUGCUACCGCCGCCACUGGCUUGCCAUUUCUGCUCGGCUGUGCCCUUAUUCGCUGUUCUAAUUGUUGAAAGGAAAUGUUGUCGAAGCUAUAGUUUCUCCGUUCCCCAUUCUCUUGUUUCUUUUCUGAGGGUGCUUGGAAUACAAAUCAUAACAUAUAGCUGCUGCAGAAUAAUGUGAAAAGAGGGUUUGUCGCGUUAAAAUCGUUGCGGGUUUAAUUCUUUGAGGUAGGGUUUUUCUUAAAAUCUAUUUUACAUUACAGAGUUGUUAUAAAUAGAUAUUAAUA
Molecule: non-coding RNA, 424 nt
Organism: Arachis ipaensis
Lineage: Eukaryota; Viridiplantae; Streptophyta; Magnoliopsida; Fabales; Fabaceae
Source: RefSeq, a predicted model, not a curated record